This 107-nucleotide small nuclear RNA is filed under the name Chinchilla lanigera (long-tailed chinchilla). The record is from RNAcentral. Lineage: Eukaryota; Metazoa; Chordata; Mammalia; Rodentia; Chinchillidae.
GUGCUCACUUCAGCAGCAUAUAUGCUACAACUGAAAUGAUAUAGAGAAGAUUAACAUACUCCCUGUGCAAGGAUGACAUGCAAAUUCAUGAAGCACUCUGUAUUAAA